RNAcentral lists this ribosomal RNA (999 nucleotides) under Metarhizium rileyi. RNAcentral's name for it is "SSU rRNA". It matches the Rfam family "Eukaryotic small subunit ribosomal RNA", at positions 92 to 1102 of the family's 1831-position model. The record is from RNAcentral. Lineage: Eukaryota; Fungi; Ascomycota; Sordariomycetes; Hypocreales; Clavicipitaceae.
AAUGGCUCAUUAUAUAAGUUAUCGUUUAUUUGAUAGUACCUUACUACUUGGAUAACCGUGGUAAUUCUAGAGCUAAUACAUGCUAAAAAUCCCGACUUCGGAAGGGAUGUAUUUAUUAGAUUAAAAACCAAUGCCCUCUGGGCUCUCUGGUGAUUCAUGAUAACUUCUCGAAUCGCAUGGCCUUGCGCCGGCGAUGGUUCAUUCAAAUUUCUUCCCUAUCAACUUUCGAUGUUUGGGUAGUGGCCAAACAUGGUUGCAACGGGUAACGGAGGGUUAGGGCUCGACCCCGGAGAAGGAGCCUGAGAAACGGCUACUACAUCCAAGGAAGGCAGCAGGCGCGCAAAUUACCCAAUCCCGAUUCGGGGAGGUAGUGACAAUAAAUACUGAUACAGGGCUCUUUUGGGUCUUGUAAUUGGAAUGAGUACAAUUUAAAUCCCUUAACGAGGAACAAUUGGAGGGCAAGUCUGGUGCCAGCAGCCGCGGUAAUUCCAGCUCCAAUAGCGUAUAUUAAAGUUGUUGUGGUUAAAAAGCUCGUAGUUGAACCUUGGGCCUGGCUGGCCGGUCCGCCUCACCGCGUGUACUGGUCCGGCCGGGCCUUUCCCUCUGUGGAACCCCAUGCCCUUCACUGGGUGUGGCGGGGAAACAGGACUUUUACUUUGAAAAAAUUAGAGUGCUCCAGGCAGGCCUAUGCUCGAAUACAUUAGCAUGGAAUAAUAAAAUAGGACGUGUGGUUCUAUUUUGUUGGUUUCUAGGACCGCCGUAAUGAUUAAUAGGGACAGUCGGGGGCAUCAGUAUUCAAUUGUCAGAGGUGAAAUUCUUGGAUUUAUUGAAGACUAACUACUGCGAAAGCAUUUGCCAAGGAUGUUUUCAUUAAUCAGGAACGAAAGUUAGGGGAUCGAAGACGAUCAGAUACCGUCGUAGUCUUAACCAUAAACUAUGCCGACUAGGGAUCGGACGAUGUUAUUUUUUGACUCGUUCGGCCCCUUACGAGAAAUCAAA